This 468-nucleotide ribosomal RNA is filed under the name Pseudomonas sp. ITRI53. Its description in RNAcentral is "bacterial SSU rRNA". It matches the Rfam family "Bacterial small subunit ribosomal RNA", at positions 30 to 492 of the family's 1533-position model. The record is from RNAcentral. Lineage: Bacteria; Pseudomonadati; Pseudomonadota; Gammaproteobacteria; Pseudomonadales; Pseudomonadaceae.
AUUGAACGCUGGCGGCAGGCCUAACACAUGCAAGUCGAGCGGUAGAGAGAAGCUUGCUUCUCUUGAGAGCGGCGGACGGGUGAGUAAUGCCUAGGAAUCUGCCUAGUGGUGGGGGAUAACGUUCGGAAACGGACGCUAAUACCGCAUACGUCCUACGGGAGAAAGCGGGGGACCUUCGGGCCUCGCGCCAUUAGAUGAGCCUAGGUCGGAUUAGCUAGUUGGUGAGGUAAAGGCUCACCAAGGCGACGAUCCGUAACUGGUCUGAGAGGAUGAUCAGUCACACUGGAACUGAGACACGGUCCAGACUCCUACGGGAGGCAGCAGUGGGGAAUAUUGGACAAUGGGCGAAAGCCUGAUCCAGCCAUGCCGCGUGUGUGAAGAAGGUCUUCGGAUUGUAAAGCACUUUAAGUUGGGAGGAAGGGUAGUAACUUAAUACGUUGCUACUUUGACGUACCGACAGAAUAAGCC